GAUGAACGCUGGCGGCGUGCCUAAUACAUGCAAGUCGAGUGAACGGACGAGAAGCUUGCUUCUCUGAUGUUAGCGGCGGACGGGUGAGUAACACGUGGAUAACCUACCUAUAAGACUGGGAUAACUUCGGGAAACCGGAGCUAAUACCGGAUGAUAUUUUGAACCGCAUGGUUCAAAAGUGAAAGACGGUCUUGCUGUCACUUAUAGAUGGAUCCGCGCUGCAUUAGCUAGUUGGUAAGGUAACGGCUUACCAAGGCAACGAUGCAUAGCCGACCUGAGAGGGUGAUCGGCCACACUGGAACUGAGACACGGUCCAGACUCCUACGGGAGGCAGCAGUAGGGAAUCUUCCGCAAUGGGCGAAAGCCUGACGGGGCAACGCCGCGUGAGUGAUGAAGGUCUUCGGAUCGUAAAACUCUGUUAUUAGGGAAGAACAUAUGUGUAAGUAACUGUGCACAUCUUGACGGUACCUAAUCAGAAAGCCACGGCUAACUACGUG
RNAcentral lists this ribosomal RNA (497 nucleotides) under uncultured bacterium. RNAcentral's name for it is "partial 16S ribosomal RNA". It matches the Rfam family "Bacterial small subunit ribosomal RNA", at positions 28 to 507 of the family's 1533-position model. The record is from RNAcentral.